Empidonax traillii (willow flycatcher) is the source of this 176-nucleotide long non-coding RNA. RefSeq lists it as uncharacterized. The transcript has 3 exons. The record is from RefSeq and is a predicted model, not a curated record. NCBI's taxonomy places the organism in Eukaryota, Metazoa, Chordata, Aves, Passeriformes, Tyrannidae.
UUAGAAGUUACUCAAGACUUGAGCAAAGAAUGGAUAACAACUAAGUUGGGGCUGUGAAAUUCUCAAAGACCUUUAGAGAAAAGUCAGAAAUCAUUUUGACUGGGACUUCUGUGCUUUUGCCAGACCUCCAGCCCUCUUGGAACUUAAGCUGACAUGAAAUAGUCGUUGCAAUGCUU